GCCCGUGUGGCUCAGUUGGUAGAACAUGGUGUUUGCAACGCCAGGGUUGUGGGUUCAAUUCCCAGUACGGAGA
Molecule: transfer RNA, 73 nt
Filed under: Salmo salar (Atlantic salmon)
Lineage: Eukaryota; Metazoa; Chordata; Actinopteri; Salmoniformes; Salmonidae
Rfam family: tRNA
About the family: Transfer RNA (tRNA) molecules are approximately 80 nucleotides in length. Their secondary structure includes four short double-helical elements and three loops (D, anti-codon, and T loops).
Source: Rfam by way of RNAcentral